UUGCAACAGAAAAAUAUGUAUAUCAAAAUAAAUGUAUACAUUGUGUGAAAUGCAUAGUUUCACCCUUAGGAGACACAGGGACACCUCUAGACAGAUAUAGACAGACAGAGAAAAACAGAUGCAUAAAGUAAACAUUACGCUGAGGCAUUUGAAUAUGAUUCUAUUUUAGGUGGUCGAGGUAGACCAGCUAUUCAUAUUACAAGAGAUCAGAUCGACUUUCUUUUGGCCCAAGGACACACAGUCAAGAGGAUGGCAAACAUCUUUGGAUGCUCAACAUCAUUUCUUUAUAAGAAGUCCAAGGCACUUGGUGUACCAAUCAGGGGAAGGUUGGCUGCAGUGACUGAUGAAGACCUUGAAACUAACAUCAGACAACUUCAAUCCCUGUAUCCAAAUUCUGGGACUGAGAUGAUGCGAGGCUUGUUGCAUGCACAAGGACUAGUGGUUCCACAGCGUAAGGUCCGUGACAUGAUGGCUCGAAUCAACCCAAUGGCAACUGCAAGGAGGUGGAGCAGUGCAGUGUCUCGACGUGUCUAUCAUGUGCCAUAUCCCAACAGUUUAUGGCAUAUUGAUGGCAACAUGCGUCUCAUAAGGUGGGGCUUUGUGGUCCAUGGUGGCAUCGAUGGAUGUUCUCGCUUAAUUACUUACUUGAACUGUAGCACAGACAAUCGCGCCUCAACAGUGCUAUUUCAUUUUCUCAAGGCAACAGGCCUCUAUGGCUUACCUUCAAGAGUGAGGUCAGAUCAUGGUGGCGAGAA
Long non-coding RNA from Fundulus heteroclitus (mummichog), 755 nucleotides. RefSeq lists it as uncharacterized. Lineage: Eukaryota; Metazoa; Chordata; Actinopteri; Cyprinodontiformes; Fundulidae. The transcript has 3 exons. The record is from RefSeq and is a predicted model, not a curated record.